AAAACUUUCAUACAGAGUCCAAAUGACAUGUUUUUUUUUAAUUUGUUAUAAAGAAAAUGAUAGACUUUAAGUCACAUUUCAUCUUUUAGACAUUUAGCUUCUAGCUGUCCUGGUUGAAUUUGGAAAACGAAAAGAACAAAUCAUGUUCUAUUGUAGUUGAUAUUUUAAAAUUAAACAAUGAUUAUGUUGGUUUACAAGGGCGGCACAUGUCUGUUAGUUUUGGCCUUGGAUGCCUCCAUAAUGUACUCAAUACUUUGUAUCAUUUCAAUUCACCAAUUUGGUGUUCCACUUGAAUUCUGUAUUCACCAAUCACUGCUUAAAUGUUGUAGCAUUGAAACGAGGGGUCAAUUAUAUUUUUUUUCAAAAUUCAUCAAGGAAAAACUUUACCUCGAACAAGAUAUCUUGAAGCGGAGAAGACCGUCGUUGAUAAUAAUAAUAAAAAAAAAACGUGAUCUUUUCCUUCGACCUAAAAAAUCAAUAUGUAAUUAUGUAAAAAUUGAAAAUGUACAUCGACUGAGGUGAAGAUCGGUGGAAAAACACAAAGUUGGUCGUGUUCACAAGUGUGAUACGGACGGACCAGUAUUCUUUUUCAUUUUUGAAAAAACAUCAUAAAAGCUUUUACACCAACAAAUUAAAUCGUUAUUGGCAUGCGGCAAAUAUUUGGCGAAAGACUCACAUAAUCACAAAAGUGAAGAGAAAAUGGGUUAGGAUUCUGAAUGAUUGGAAUAUUUGUUUAAUCAAUUCAACAUGAAAUGUCGUGCAAAUACAUACGAAAUAAGAAUAUUAUAUGACAGAGACAUAUGUAUGGUAGACGUUUCCCCUUUCGUGGAUAUCCAGAAAUCGAGAAAGGGAAAUCAAGAAAUUGAGAAAUCGGGA
This 876-nucleotide long non-coding RNA is filed under the name Mytilus galloprovincialis (Mediterranean mussel). The record is from RNAcentral. Lineage: Eukaryota; Metazoa; Mollusca; Bivalvia; Mytilida; Mytilidae.